UACGUAGGGUGCAAGCGUUGUCCGGAAUUAUUGGGCGUAAAGAGCUCGUAGGCGGUUUGUUACGUCGGCUGUGAAAACCUGGGGCUCAACCCCGGGCCUGCAGCCGAUACGGGCAGACUAGAAUUCGGUAGGGGAGACUGGAAUUCCUGGUGUAGCGGUGGAAUGCGCAGAUAUCAGGAGGAACACCGGUGGCGAAGGCGGGUCUCUGGGCCGAUACUGACGCUGAGGAGCGAAAGCGUGGGGAGCGAACAGG
RNAcentral lists this ribosomal RNA (253 nucleotides) under uncultured bacterium. RNAcentral describes it as "partial 16S ribosomal RNA". It matches the Rfam family "Bacterial small subunit ribosomal RNA", at positions 524 to 776 of the family's 1533-position model. The record is from RNAcentral.